This is a long non-coding RNA of Bubalus bubalis (water buffalo), 668 nucleotides long. RefSeq lists it as uncharacterized. The record is from RefSeq and is a predicted model, not a curated record. Lineage: Eukaryota; Metazoa; Chordata; Mammalia; Artiodactyla; Bovidae. The transcript has 2 exons.
AAAAAAGCAGUGAUUUCCCACACUCUUUCUCAAUCGUUGUGAUAAAAACGUUAUGUUCCUCAGAAAAGCCCUGGUGACACCCUGCUGAGUUGGUAAUACUUGCCAUCCCAAACAAGCAUGUCAUGAUCCGAGGUCCUGUGACACCAUGGCUGGUGUCCUUUGAUUUCUGAACACAGCCGCGAUGGCUAGAGAGCGUCGGCUGACUGCUCCCUCGGUAUACUCUACUUUGAGGAGCUGUCUGGGAGACGUGCCUGCGAGAUUUCAGGAGCUGCCUGGAUCACACACGACUCCGGAUGCUCCUCUGCAGUCCCUUCACCACUGAUACUUGAUUCCAGUAUUGCUGCGGAGCAGCGCCCUCUGCUGGUCAUGCUGAAGCAUUACAUCAUGAGAAAAAUCGAUAAUACGAAAAGAUGAAGGGAAGGGAGGAAAAAAGAGGGGGGCGGGUAGGGGAAGAAAGGGAAAGGAACGUUUUAAAAAAGGAAAUGCAAAAAGAAGGAAAGAAGUUAAAUAUAGUUGGGUUAUACAGUCUUUAACCGAAGCUUUGGCAUACAUUAGAAAUAAAGUAUGUUUGCCUCAUAGUACGGCUAUUUAGUAGACAGAGACUAUUUUCCCUGCAGAAAAUUUUUGUCAUACUUGAAAGAUUAAAAAAAAAGUUACUGUUAUUGAAA